RNAcentral lists this ribosomal RNA (2946 nucleotides) under Triticum aestivum (bread wheat). RNAcentral describes it as "partial small subunit ribosomal RNA". The record is from RNAcentral. Lineage: Eukaryota; Viridiplantae; Streptophyta; Magnoliopsida; Poales; Poaceae.
AUGAUCGCCGUGUGCUUUUUGUUGGCGUGCUUGGGGGCAGCUCUGCAGCCAACGUCGGCCGCCGAGGAUGGAAGGGGUGGGAUCUUGCAUAUCCCUUCCGCUGCCGACCUGGCUCGGGCUCGCUGCCCUUCCAGAUGCGGCGGUGUUGCCCUUCACUAUCCGUGGGGGAUAGGGCCGGGCUGCUUCCGGCAAGGCUUCGAGCUCACGUGCAACAACACCACUAGUCAUAAGAAGCUCUUUCUGGCAAGGCUUCGAGCUCACCUGCAACAUCACCGCAGGUUAUAUGAGGCUCUUUCUGCCCAACACUACCACUGAGAUCCUUGAGUUACCUCCUGGAGAUACUUUGCUUCGGGUCCCUCCUAUCCACUUCAACGUCCCCAUGAAACCAGGUAUGACCGACACCUAUAACAUGUCAUGGGAGGUCCCUGUUAAAGGUGUUAUGAUCUAUGGAGGAGAAUCUAGCUUGUUCGUUGUUGGUUGUGGUGUGAGUGUUUACUUGUUUGGCCAUGAUACCGACGACCCCAUCGGUAGUUGCAUGAGUAUUUGCCUCGACGACAAAGUGGCCAUGAAGGAGGCAAAUGCAAACAACUUCAAUGGCGAUGGUGGGAUGGGAUACUGUUCCAUCCGUUUGCAGCGGGACGUUCCAGCAUUCGGGUUGGUAGUUGACCGCCUCAAAGGCGCAUCUGCACUAGCAGGUCAAGGUCAAGGGCUCUCUAAUAGUAGUAUCAAAGUUUUCUUGGCGGGAGAUUACAAAUUUCAUACGGUUGACAUCUAUUCAAGUAAGAUAGACGAACGAAAUGUUGCAUGGCCAUAUUUUAGCAUGGCCAUCACGGAUCAACCAAACUGUGAAAAUGCUCGGAAUAACAAGUCAAGCUAUGCUUGUAGCCAUUACAGCGAUUGCCUGGAUAUGCUGCCAUCUGGAGGCUACGCCUGUUUCUGCCGCAGUUACACAAACGACGGCAACCCCUACCUUAUAGAUGGUUGUGAACGACCAGCGCAUUACAAUCCCAAUCAAAAAGGCGGUUGCACCAAAUUUUGCGGGAACACACAUAUUCACUUCCCUUUUGGGCUUGAAAAGGGUUGCUACGCUGCUGAAAAGUUUCGACUUAACUGUACAUUAGACAACAUCACAAUUCUUGAUCGAGGGGUUGACAAUUUUGAUGAUGGGGCCAAAUUUAUUGUGGCCAAAAUUUCAGUGAAUGAAGGAUAUCUUACUGUUAGUGAAACACAAAAUGACUCAAGGUACGGUAACGAAGGGAUCGCGGUAAUUGGGUAUCAAAGCAAUGGGCAGUGGGAAAUACAAGACAUCUCUUUAGAUGGUUUUCAUUUAUCUGAAGAAUAUGGUAUGAAGAUGUGGUGGUCUAUCGAUAAUUUGACCUGUUCAGAGGCUACGAGCAAGCAAAGAAGUGAUACGUACGCAUGUCGUAGCAGCAAUAGCACUUGCAUUAUUGUCAACCAACUAGGCUACAAGAAUGUGACAAUGCUGCUCGGCUAUCGUUGCCAGUGCUCUAGAGGUUUUGAUGGAAAUCCAUACAUAUUGAAUGUAUGCCAAGAUGUCAAUGAGUGUUUGUUGAUAAAUAUUUGUAACGGCCCCUGCCUAAAUUACCCUGGAGGCCAUAGUUGCAGCGAGUGCACCCAUGGAAAAGAGUUUGAUCCAAGACAACUCAAAUGUGUCAUGUCAACAAAGAGACGCAAUCUUCUCUUAGGUAUCGCAACUGGAAUUAGUUACGGCCUUGGUGCCAUUAUUCUUGUGCUAGGUGCAACAGUACUCAUCAACAAGUGGAAGAGAGGCAUACAGAAGAGAAUUCGAAGGGCAUACUUCAAGAAAAAUCAAGGCCUACUCCUGGAACAACUAAUAUUAGAUGAAAGUGCCACAAAGAAAACAAAGAUAUUCUCCUUGGAGGAAUUAGAUAAAGCAACCAACAACUUUGAUGUCAAUCGUAUUCUUGGUCGUGGAGGACAUGGCACAGUUUACAAAGGGAUUCUAUCCGAUCAACGUGUAGUGGCCAUAAAAAAGUCUAAGCUGGUGGAGCAAACUGAGAUUGACCAAUUUAUCAACGAGGUUGCCAUCCUGUCACAAAUCAUUCAUCGGAAUGUGGUCAAGCUUUUUGGUUGUUGUCUCGAAACAGAAGUGCCUUUGCUAGUUUAUGAGUUCAUAUCCAAUGGCACACUAUAUGAUCUUCUGCACAUUGAUGUAAGUGUUCAAUGCUUACUUUUAUGGGGUGAUCGCAUUAGGAUUGCUGUAGAAGCUGCAGGUGCUCUUCCUUAUCUCCACUCAGCCGCUGCGAUACCAAUUUUUCAUAGAGAUGUCAAAUCUUCCAAUAUACUCCUAGAUGACAACUUUACUACCAAGGUUUCUGACUUUGGUGCUUCGAGGUCUUUAUCACUUGAUCAGACACAUGUAGUGACAAUUGUGCAAGGAACUUUUGGUUACUUAGACCCCGAGUACUACCACACCGGGGAGCUAAGUGAGAAGAGUGAUGUUUAUAGCUUUGGAAUUAUACUGGUGGAGCUUCUAUGAGAAAGAAGCCAAUUUUUAUUAAUGAACAAGGUAUAAAACAAAGCUUGGCUCAUUACUUUGUGGAAGGACUUCAGCAGGGAGUUCUCAUGGAAAUCAUGGAUCCCCAAGUUGCAGAAGAAGCGAACCAGAAUGAAAUUGAUGACAUUGCCUCAGUUGCGGAAGCAUGCUUGAAAACCAAAGGAAGAGAAAGACCUACCAUGAAAGAGGUAGAAAUGAAAUUGCAACUCCUAAAAACUAGAAGAUUAAGGAGUCAACUUCCUCCCAUAAAUGAUGGAGAGAUCGAGUCACUUGGGUACCUAAAUGGUGCUAGCUCUCAUGCACAAAGCAACAGCAUUGUCAGUAAUGUUGGCUUAACACCUACAUGUAGCUCCGGAAAGUACAGUCUGGAGCAAGAGUUCUUGAACUCGGCUAGCUUGCCACGCUAG